Gambusia affinis (western mosquitofish) is the source of this 402-nucleotide long non-coding RNA. RefSeq lists it as uncharacterized. NCBI's taxonomy places the organism in Eukaryota, Metazoa, Chordata, Actinopteri, Cyprinodontiformes, Poeciliidae. The transcript has 3 exons. The record is from RefSeq and is a predicted model, not a curated record.
GGCCAGAGCGCCGGUACCGGAGGAAUCACAGCGCCACACUGAGAACAGAACCGAGCAAACGGGUCUGAAGGGCAGCAGAGGCAGCGAGGACACCUGGAAACACAAAGGACCAGGAUACGCCCCCCAGUGGACGGUGGGCGUGUCUCCGCCAGUGAGCGUGUCCUAAUGGUAGUGUCAUCAGAGUGGGGGUGUCCUGAGAGCGUACCGCGGCGGAGCGGCGUCACUCGGCGGUUGGGUUUGCGGUUCGCUGCUCAGCGGCGUUGGAUGAGCAGGAGCGUCGGGAAGAGCAGGUCCAGGCAGCAUCAGGAUCUGGAAUCCCGGCACCUCUGGAGCAUCUGGAGGGCAGGGGAACCGGUGGAGGACUGGACCCGAUCCGCUCCGGUUCUGAAGCCGGACUGCAGG